GACGAACGCUGGCGGCGUGCUUAACACAUGCAAGUCGAACGGUAAGGCCCUUCGGGGUACACGAGUGGCGAACGGGUGAGUAACACGUGGGUGAUCUGCCCUGCACUCCGGGAUAAGCCUGGGAAACUGGGUCUAAUACCGGAUAGGACCCUGGGAUGCAUGUCCUGGGGUGGAAAGCUUUUGCGGGGUGGGAUGGGCCCGCGGCCUAUCAGCUUGUUGGUGGGGUGAUGGCCUACCAAGGCGACGACGGGUAGCCGGCCUGAGAGGGUGACGGGCCGCGCUGGGACGGGGAUACGCGCCAGACGCAGACGGGAGGCAGCAGUGGGGAAGAUUGCACAAUGGGCGGAAGCCUGAUGCAGCGACGCCGCGUGAGGGAUGACGGACUGCGGGUUGUACACCUCUUUCAGCGCCGACGAAGCGAAAGUGACGGUAGGUGCAGAAGAAGGACCGGCCAACUACGUGCCAGCCGCCGCCGUAA
RNAcentral lists this ribosomal RNA (478 nucleotides) under uncultured bacterium. RNAcentral describes it as "partial 16S ribosomal RNA". It matches the Rfam family "Bacterial small subunit ribosomal RNA", at positions 28 to 523 of the family's 1533-position model. The record is from RNAcentral.